This 279-nucleotide small nuclear RNA is filed under the name Octodon degus (degu). Its description in RNAcentral is "7SK RNA (ENSODEG00000023898.1)". It matches the Rfam family "7SK RNA", at positions 1 to 280 of the family's 331-position model. Rfam says of the family: 7SK was discovered as an abundant small nuclear RNA in the mid-70s but a possible function has only recently been suggested. Lineage: Eukaryota; Metazoa; Chordata; Mammalia; Rodentia; Octodontidae. The record is from RNAcentral.
GGAGGGAGAGUGAUCAGGCUGUGAUAUGUGUCACACCAUUGAUUGCCUGGGUUGAUUCGGCUGAUCUAGCUGGUGAGGUGAGUAUCCCCUUAGUCCCUCAAUGCUCCAUGUGCGUUCCUCCCUAAACUGUGUGCUCAGUCGAAGAAGAGGAUGAUCACUCCCAAAAGAGGGGUCCAUUCCUUGGUUGAAGACACAAGAGUAGCUGCACCCCCUGCUAGAACCUCCAAACAAGCUCUCAAGAGGUAAGCAAGAGAGGGUCAAUGGGUUCUACCUUUCUCU